GCGGAAGUAUGAUGGUUUCACUGGAUUUAAAUAGUGUGAAGAUGGAAGACGUGUAGUUUGAGUCAGGCCCCGUUCCCGAACCUCAGAUAAUUGCAUUAUCUCCAUUUACUAAUUAAAUCGACUACAAAUAGAAUUAACUCACAGUGUCCCACAGGAGGACAUGAGGUGCAGUAGUUUGAUAUAGUAGGCCACCCGCCUGUACUGUUUAAUAACAUGGAGUUUGACAUGUGUGUUUGCUGACCGGGACGCUCAAACUGUACAACAAACGCACCUCCUAUUUGACCCAGUUGUGUUGUGGCGGCCCUCCGGUGUGGGAAGCCAGGGCGGCUCGGUUAACGCACACCGCGGGAGAAGGGCCACGCAGCGGAGAACACCGCCGUGCUGCUGGCUUUCAGGACACGUAUUUCUUCAACGAAACAUGUCUCCAACGAAAUGAACACCAAAGUGACGAGAUGGCCGCUCGGUGGCAAUAAAUCCUGAAAGAAUUCCCGGACUGACAAAGUGCGCAGCGGUGUUUGUGCGUCAAGAAGGCCACCAACUGAGCGGGUGUUUCCAGCAGCUCUGGAGUGGACGACACACACACGUCACUCCAGUCAUAAGGUUUUGAUGGCACCUUGACAGGCGUUUUGGGAGGAGGAACACAAGGUGCAUGUUUUCAAGUGAUCAAACAUGCUACAGGACUGGAUACAGAUGCAAGACAGAGAAUGGAUGAAGGAGAAAACGACCAGAGGAAAAGAAGAGCUCAGCUAAUUGGACAUAGACUAACAGAAGAAAAGAAUGUGAAGGAAGGACGCACUUUGAUUAACUUAAUUACUAGAAACUGUAAGAAGGGAUAGGACAGAAAGAUGAAAGAGGGUAAAGAAAAACCAAGCAGACACAGAUAUGCGGCAAAUGUUCAACCCAUUUCCAGCAGCUGCAACUUGUGAAGGUACUUGCUCAGGUUUUAGAAAAGGGUUAGAAGUUUGAAAGGUCCAGGAUGCUGGGCAGUGGCUGGAAAUUGUGUAUUUACUGUUUGCUCCUUGCAUCUCAUAAAAGGGCUAGCACACAUUUGUACUGGGAAUAACUGGGAGCUGGACAACACAGUCUUGGAACUACAGACUUCCCUGUUUGACAGUUUAAUGCAUUAACAAAAGGUGGCAGCCGUUGUAGCACCACUGGACAAAAGCAUAAAACUUACCAUGUUUACACUGUAAGCAUAGCGUGUGCAGCACAUAACAUCACAGGGGGCUCAUGCUCGUGUCUAUACUGGGCAUGUGUUCAUUCAUGCGUAGGAAGCGCCUGGUGUACAAAAACACAGAGGAGCCUACAGAAACACUUCAGAAAAAGGAAGACUAUAGUCCAAAACGCAGACAAAUAAUAGACCAUGAGGGAAUUACAAAUUACUGGCUACAAGUAUAUGUACACUAUGUCUCAAACAUGACUGACUGAGUCCGCUCCAAUAUGGGACUGUGUUUCUAAAUAAGGAUCAGAAUUGGAUCGGCUUUAUUCUGGCUGAUAACAAUCCUGUGAAAUAUGCCCAGAUUGGUGCGGAUACUGAUUUGCACAGUGGGAUCCAGCAGGAUGUCUGAGUCCCUACAAUGUAUGGAUGAAGUGAUACUGGUACCGGCAUCGUUGCUGAUACUGCCCUCUAGUACUAAAGUCGUCUAAUACUACACAUCGACCUAUAAAGGCACACAUUACUUCAACUUCAGUGAGGAUUUUCAGUGGUUUGCAGAUAUUUUUAGAUGAGUGACGAUGACAAAAGUAAAGCUGACUGCAAACUGCUCUCUAUCUGUCAAGAGUGUAGUAAAGAAAUACAUCUCCACUUGGUUGGUUCAGUCCCCACAUUGUGAGUAAUGCCAGGUACACACACAUCUAGAUACAUUAGAUAACAUAAGACAGAAAGAGACAGAGGGGGAAACGGUGAGCUGAUCAGUUCUUCACUAAUGGAGUUCUGCAGAGUCAGAGCUGUUUGGUCUCCUAAUUGACUUCAUGUCAUCUGCAUAUCAUUAGCAUUCUGUUACCAUGGGCAACAAUAUGCAGGGGAAUCUGGCAUAUAUAUAUGUGUGUGUUGUUGAGUGCACGCGCUUGUGUGCAGCUGGGAUGAGUGCAGUGUAAAUGCUUUUAGAUAGACCCAUUAAUCAUGUGCUUAACCUCAUCAGAAGCUACAGACACACACACACACCCACAUUCAAGCACACAGACAUAAGCUAGAUGAGAGGCAUUGGGAGUCGUACAGAAAACGACAAACCGACUGAGGAAAAGAGAUGGAGAAAAAAGAGAGAAGCAUUAUUGACAGCUGUCAGUAAGGGUGAAUGUAGCUUACUAGAGAGUUAGUGUACCACUCUGUUUAUUAAAUCUCCAGCUCUUCCUUGGACUCUGAACCCCAGAGUCAUCCACUGGAUAAGUUUGAUCUGUACCUCAUGGUUAAUAGAAUAAACACCACAAAACUAAAUUUGUUUAAGCUAAACCUUAUGAUGAAUGAAAAUGGUAAUUAAAUAAGAAUGACGAAUAUACUGGAAUUAUAAAGCCAUAAACUCCACAGCAGUUAACUUUUGCAACCUUUUUUGCAUCUCUAAGGUUUUUAUUGUUUUGGAGGCUGGCAUGUGUCAUGGAGCUAUAA
This is a long non-coding RNA of Monopterus albus (swamp eel), 2602 nucleotides long. RefSeq lists it as uncharacterized. The transcript is spliced from 3 exons. Lineage: Eukaryota; Metazoa; Chordata; Actinopteri; Synbranchiformes; Synbranchidae. The record is from RefSeq and is a predicted model, not a curated record.